GGAGUUAGCCGGUGCUUCUUCUGUGAGUGAUGUCCUUCCUGCCGGCUAUUAACCCGCAGGCCUUCUUCCUCACUGAAAGUUCUUUACAACCCGAAGGCCUUCUUCACACACGCGGCAUGGCUGGAUCAGGGUUGCCCCCAUUGUCCAAUAUUCCCCACUGCUGCCUCCCGUAGGAGUCUGGGCCGUGUCUCAGUCCCAGUGUGGCUGAUCAUCCUCUCAGACCAGCUACGGAUCGUCGCCUUGGUGAGCCGUUACCUCACCAACCAGCUAAUCCGACAUAGGCUCAUCCGAUAGCGCGAGGCCCGAAGGUCCCCCGCUUUCCCCCGUAGGGCGUAUGCGGUAUUAGCCUGGGUUUCCCCAGGUUAUCCCCCACUACCGGGCAGAUUCCUAUGCAUUACUCACCCGUCCGCCGCUCGCCACCAGGGAGCAAGCUCCCCGUGCUGCCGCUCGACUUGCAUGUGUUAGGCCUGCCGCCAGCGUUCAAUCUGAGCCAUAAUCAAACUCUGA
RNAcentral lists this ribosomal RNA (507 nucleotides) under uncultured bacterium. RNAcentral describes it as "partial 16S ribosomal RNA". The record is from RNAcentral.